AACGAACGCUGGCGGCAGGCCUAACACAUGCAAGUCGAGCGGGACCUUCGGGUCUAGCGGCGGACGGGUUAGUAACGCGUGGGAACGUGCCCAAAGGUACGGAAUAGCCUCGGGAAACUGAGAGUAAUACCGUAUGUGCCCCUCGGGGGAAAGAUUUAUCGCCUUUGGAUCGGCCCGCGUUGGAUUAGGUAGUUGGUGGGGUAAUGGCCUACCAAGCCGACGAUCCAUAGCUGGUUUGAGAGGAUGAUCAGCAACACUGGGACUGAGACACGGCCCAGACUCCUACGGGAGGCAGCAGUGGGGAAUCUUAGACAAUGGGGGAAACCCUGAUCUAGCCAUGCCGCGUGAGCGAUGAAGGCCUUAGGGUUGUAAAGCUCUUUCAGAUGGGAAGAUAAUGACGGUACCAUCAGAAGAAGACCCCGGCCGUAACUACCGUCGCCAGCAGCCGCGGUAAAACGUAAGCGUG
RNAcentral lists this ribosomal RNA (466 nucleotides) under uncultured bacterium. Its description in RNAcentral is "bacterial SSU rRNA". It matches the Rfam family "Bacterial small subunit ribosomal RNA", at positions 29 to 533 of the family's 1533-position model. The record is from RNAcentral.